GAUCAUGGCUCAGGAUGAACGCUGGCGGCGUGCUUAACACAUGCAAGUCGAGCGAAGCACUUAGGAAAGAUUCUUCGGAUGAUUUCCUAUUUGACUGAGCGGCGGACGGGUGAGUAACGCGUGGGUAACCUGCCUCAUACAGGGGGAUAACAGUUAGAAAUGACUGCUAAUACCGCAUAAGACCACAGCACCGCAUGGUGCAGGGGUAAAACGUACCGUCGGUGUNAGAUGACCGG
Molecule: ribosomal RNA, 236 nt
Filed under: uncultured bacterium
Lineage: Bacteria
Description: partial 16S ribosomal RNA
Rfam family: Bacterial small subunit ribosomal RNA
Source: RNAcentral